CUUUAAAGGGCAUCAGUCAGCAGAUUUCUACCUAUGAAACUGGCUGACCUGUUUCAUGUGCACUUGGCAGCUGAAGGCAUCUGUGUUGGUCCAAUGUUCAUAUGUGCCCGCAUUGCACAUGAAAAAUAUGAUGUUUUUGAGGUGU
Long non-coding RNA from Bufo bufo (common toad), 145 nucleotides. RefSeq lists it as uncharacterized. The record is from RefSeq and is a predicted model, not a curated record. NCBI's taxonomy places the organism in Eukaryota, Metazoa, Chordata, Amphibia, Anura, Bufonidae. The transcript has 3 exons.